GCGGUUUUUCGUCUCUCUUCAAUGUGGUCUCGCUUUGAAGAGACCAUACUUGUAACUCGUCAGUUAAGUGCGUUAAGUUAAGUGUAAUUAACGCCAAAUAAUUAACCAUUUGGAACGCUGUAAUCUGAAUUGUGCUGGUUGAACUUCGACAGUGCAGGCCACACUAUGUGUGAUUGGUUAUCAAAGAGAGGCAGAAAUGGCAGAAAGGUAACCUGAUGCAGUCCAUUCAUGUCAACGCCACUGUCCAUCUCACUAUGUAGUAUGUGGACAAUAGGCAACCCAACCAUAUUUUCCUCUACACUGAAGUCAAUUUAUCAUAAUUGAAAUUAAGUUAAUCUCUUCAUCACAACACAUUUUGAUUUUGGUGUAGACCAAGGUCCAUCUAAGAAGUUUACAAGCCAACAAGAACAAGUGAUAGUAGACCGAAAGAUUCCGUGAUUGUAUCUGCUAAAUCGUCGGGGUGGACCAAGGGUAGAUGUAACCGGCUUUCGAUCGGAGGAGGGGAAUGAAUGUGCCCAUUGGUGGUGGUGGCGAAUGAUGGCUAUUACCAGGGACUUGCUUAUUUUGGCACGGUUUGGUUUCGAGUACGUACUGGAAUAAAAAGCAGGUGACCUCUGUGCGAAUAACCUUCACCAACCUUCUGAAUC
Molecule: long non-coding RNA, 647 nt
Organism: Daphnia pulex (common water flea)
Lineage: Eukaryota; Metazoa; Arthropoda; Branchiopoda; Diplostraca; Daphniidae
Exons: 4
Source: RefSeq, a predicted model, not a curated record